CUGCUGUCGGAAAAUUUCCAGAGGCACCAUCCCUGCUAUGAAGAGGGAAUGCCAGUACAACAGCCACAAGGGGUCUUCCUGUGGCCCUCAAACAAAAAAUCACUGCAUUACAUCAGCAGGCCGGACGCGGUGGCUUAUGCCUGUAAUCCCAGCACUGUGGGAGGCCGAGACGGGCGGAUCACGAGAUCAGGAGAUCGAGACCAUCCUGGCUAACACGACUGCAUUGGAGAGAAAGGCGCCGGGACAGAAAAGCCUGAGAUAAACCACCUGUCAUUCUUGGAGAAAAGGAUGCUCCGGCCUUCCCGAUUUGGUUGAUGAGAUGAAACAUCAACCCUUACAGAAAGACAUCACCAAUUCCGGAAAGGAUGCUGCGCCAGUCACGUUUCCGCACUUUGUGAGACGUUGAAAUCUCCAGAAGUUGCCCAAGGUUUUCAAGUUGAACACGGGAGAAAUGACUCGAUCUCUGAGGACUGUUUUCCUCAAUAAGGAGUUGCAAUCUUGGCUCCACCACCCUCCCUCCAAAACAUCUCGUGUGUCUGGUAUCUGGUUAUAUUGUGGCCUGACAGAGAAGUUUCUUUCGGGGUCAGUGAAU
RNAcentral lists this long non-coding RNA (592 nucleotides) under Pongo abelii (Sumatran orangutan). RNAcentral describes it as "lincRNA". Lineage: Eukaryota; Metazoa; Chordata; Mammalia; Primates; Hominidae. The record is from RNAcentral.